Marasmius sp. AFHP31 is the source of this 103-nucleotide non-coding RNA. The record is from the annotation of a GenBank genome assembly. Lineage: Eukaryota; Fungi; Basidiomycota; Agaricomycetes; Agaricales; Marasmiaceae.
ACACCGUUGGUGAAGUGGUUAUCAUGCUUGCCUUCCAUGGGCUGGAAAUAUCCUCCAUAGUAAUUUAGAGCAAGCGGCUCGGGUUCGAUUCCCGAACGGUGUA